GUGAGGAAUAAGCCACCGAAAGUGGUCUAAUACUUCAUAAUAUCCAUCUCGUAUGGAUUAAAGCUUUAUGCGCUUUGGGAGGGGCCUGCGUAACAUUAGCUUGUUGGUGAGGUAAAAGCUCACCAAGGCUUCGAUGUUUAACUGGUUUGAGAGGAUGACCAGUCACACUGGGACUGAGAUACGGCCCAGACUCCUACGGGAGGCAGCAGUAAGGAAUCUUCCACAAUGGGGCAACCCUGAUGGAGCAAUACCGCGUGCAGGAUGAAGCGUUUCGGCGUGUAAACUGCUUUUAUCACCGAAGAUUAUGACUGUAGGUGAAGAAUAAGGACCGGCUAACUACGUG
Molecule: ribosomal RNA, 343 nt
Filed under: uncultured bacterium
Lineage: Bacteria
Description: bacterial SSU rRNA
Rfam family: Bacterial small subunit ribosomal RNA
Source: RNAcentral